GCCGAGAUAAGCUCAGUUGGUAGAGCAACGGACUGAAAGUCCUCGUGUCACCAGUUCAAAUCUGGUUCUUGCA
RNAcentral lists this transfer RNA (73 nucleotides) under Lactiplantibacillus pentosus. RNAcentral's name for it is "tRNA-Phe". It matches the Rfam family "tRNA". From Rfam's summary of the family: Transfer RNA (tRNA) molecules are approximately 80 nucleotides in length. Their secondary structure includes four short double-helical elements and three loops (D, anti-codon, and T loops). The record is from RNAcentral. Lineage: Bacteria; Bacillati; Bacillota; Bacilli; Lactobacillales; Lactobacillaceae.